GGGGGCGUAGAUCAAUUGGUUAGAUCACCAGACUGUCGAUCUGGAAGUUGCGGGUUCGAUUCCCGUCGCCCUCG
RNAcentral lists this transfer RNA (74 nucleotides) under Planctomycetota bacterium. RNAcentral's name for it is "Planctomycetes bacterium (groundwater metagenome) tRNA-Asp". It matches the Rfam family "tRNA". From Rfam's summary of the family: Transfer RNA (tRNA) molecules are approximately 80 nucleotides in length. Their secondary structure includes four short double-helical elements and three loops (D, anti-codon, and T loops). The record is from RNAcentral. Lineage: Bacteria; Pseudomonadati; Planctomycetota.